This 122-nucleotide ribosomal RNA is filed under the name Nematostella vectensis (starlet sea anemone). Lineage: Eukaryota; Metazoa; Cnidaria; Anthozoa; Actiniaria; Edwardsiidae. The record is from RNAcentral.
GUCUACGGCCAUACCAUCGAGAAAACACCGGUUCUCGUCCGAUCACCGAAGUUAAGCUCGAUUGGGCGCGGUUAGUACUUGGAUGGGUGACCGCCUGGGAAUACCGCGUGCUGUAGGCAUUU